UUUCUUCUCUUCCCGCUAAACUCAUCUACUCACUUUUCCAAUUUUUAGUAGUGGGAAGGAUUUACAAAUACAUUCAAGGGUUCCUUGAGAGAGAGAGGGCAAGAUUCGACAUGGGAGAGGCUAGUUUGUGAAAGAAGGGGCAAUCAUGUUGCAGGAUUCGAACAGGAGCACCUAGCACAAGUAGGCCACUUUGAUGUCAACUUGGUAAUAGGAUAAGGUUUUUAUUGUGUCCAUGUUAUUUUCAUAAAUAAGGUCAUGAAAGACCAUUCUUGAUGUAAUAAAGGUCCUAUGGAUCAUUGUGUAGUGUUUUAGGUCCAAUAAGGGGUAAUGUUGUUACAAAUUGUCCAAAUUGUCAUUGUGGUGAAAAUGUAUAUUAAGGUGUUCAAUGUAGGAAGGUAUAUUGAACCUCCUUAAUCCUAUUUUUAAUAUUCUAUAGGCAUGGUGGUCUUAAUUUAGGUCUAUGAUAAGUUUUGGUCAAAAUUGUCAUUAUUGACAAAAGUUGUCAAUGCAACUUUGUGGAGCAACAUUAGUCAUUUGAUGCACUUUGUUAGGUAAGGUUUAAAAUACAGUUAAAUCCAUUUUCAGAGGCUUGGAAAUAAUUAAAAUAUCCCUAUCCUCGACCAAGAUGAGGGUCGGAUGUUGUAUUUUGAAGGAAAUCAGUAAAAUUUUGAGUUUUUCCCUGCA
Long non-coding RNA from Cryptomeria japonica (Japanese cedar), 684 nucleotides. RefSeq lists it as uncharacterized. Lineage: Eukaryota; Viridiplantae; Streptophyta; Pinopsida; Cupressales; Cupressaceae. The record is from RefSeq and is a predicted model, not a curated record. The transcript has 2 exons.